This 1461-nucleotide long non-coding RNA is filed under the name Callithrix jacchus (white-tufted-ear marmoset). Its description in RNAcentral is "lncRNA (ENSCJAG00000076459.1)". Lineage: Eukaryota; Metazoa; Chordata; Mammalia; Primates; Cebidae. The record is from RNAcentral.
UGAUAAGCUAUUUAAAAACAAAAAUUGUUUGUUACAGUUUUUCAAACUAAAAAUGAAAAAUCCACUGAAGCAUCUUACAGGGAAAAGUAUCUUGCAUUGUCUGGAAAAACACUUAGAAUAGCUGUAGUACAAAGCCUUGAAUGCCUGCUAGAUGCAAAGUCUAUAAACAAACUCAUAGCACUUCUACUUUCUAACAAUACUGUAACUCAUGGAAUUGAAGAUCUCCUGUAAACGUGAAGAUUGAGUUAGUACCCAAUGAGUAGAGUAGUAUUUUUGUCUUAUACGUGAAUAACCUACACGCUGAGCUGGACUUGCUGUAUUUACAUUCAUCUAAUACUUUUUUGUAAUGGUAUAAAUGCAUAUAUUCAUAUAUACUGCAUAAGCAAAAGUAUUGUGGGGUUUUGGUUCUCAAUACAGUUUAAGAAUUUAAUCGGCCAGGCGCGGUGGUUCACACCUAUAAUCCCAGCACUUUGGGAGGCUGAGGCAGGUGGAUCACGAGGUCAAGAGAUUGAGACCAUCCUGGUCAACAAGGUGAAACCCCGUCUGUACUAAAAAUACAAAAAUUAGCUAGGCAUGGUGGUGGGCACCUGUAGUCCUACUUGGGAGGACUACUUGGAAGUCUGAGGCAGGAGAAUUGCUUGAACCCAGAAGGCGGAGGUUGCAGUGAGCCGAGAUUGUGCCAUUGCACUCCAGCCUGGGUAACAACAACAAAACUCCAUCUCAAAAAACAAACAAACAAAAAAUAAUAAUUUAAUCAGGCCCAGAAACAAAAAAAUAAAUGUAAGAACCAUGCCUCUAGCCCAUGGGACACAUAAGUGAGCAAAAUAAGUUGAAGCCCCUGCCCUCGUGGAGCUAAUUAUGUUCUCCUGGAAUCGUUUUAUUCCAGCAGAUGGUUUUAUUCUUCUAUUUCAGACUUCUGUCUGAUUCUUUCUAGAUUAUGUUGAAAUUAAAAUGAGAGAAGGAAAAAACAAUUACAGAUUGCUGCAUUCCCUUUAUCAUACUUCACUUUUACUUAACAUUUUAAAUUCCUACUUUUUUAACCAUUCUGAGAUUCUCUAAAGUUAUAUUUCCUGAAUUGCUAUGUAAAACUCUCUAUAAUUAGUACCAAUUAAUAUGAUAAUAUUUCAAAUUUGUCACCUUAUAAAUUUUGUGGCACAUCUUUCAAUUACUUCUUGUAAAAACAUUUAAAAGCAGGUAUUUUUCUCUUAACCAGUUAAAAUAUAGCAAUUAAUUUCAAAAUACUGUUUUUGAAUAAACAUUAGUGAAGUAUAUUUAUUUAGUUUAGAGGUUUUAUUUUCACAAUGCGGUACUUGCAACAAAUUUAGUUCUUAGAGUAGAAUUUUGGCAGGACAAUUCUAGAAAAUACUGAUCCUACGAAGCAGUAUUAUCAUUAUUAUUCAUCUGAAAUCUUGAUAAGUUUGCUUUUAUUCCCCUAAAUUUAUUUUAUAAGCAAUCAUUAGU